GACGAACGCUGGCGGCGUGCUUAACACAUGCAAGUCGAACGGAAAGGCCUGCUUUCCCUUGUGGAUUGCGGGUACUCGAGUGGCGAACGGGUGAGUAACACGUGAGUGAUCUGCCCCCAACUUGGGUAUAAGCCUGGGAAACUGGGUCUAAUUCCCGAUAGGACUGCAGGGUGGUGCCUGUGGUGGAAAACGAUUUUCUAGUGGUUGGGGAUGAGCUCGCGGCCUAUCAGCUUGUUGGUGGGGUAAUGGCCUACCAAGGCGGCGACGGGUAGCCGGCCUGAGAGGGUGGACGGCCACAUUGGGACUGGGAUACGGCCCAGACGCCUACGGGAGGCAGCAGUGGGGAAUAUUGCACAGUGGGCGGAAGCCUGAUGCAGCGACGCCGCGUGGGGGAUGACGGCCUUCGGGUUGUAAACUCCUUUCGACCGCGAGGAAGCCACCUGGUUGGAAGGGUGGUGACGGUAGUGGUAGAAGAAGCACCGGCUAACUACGUG
This 494-nucleotide ribosomal RNA is filed under the name uncultured bacterium. RNAcentral's name for it is "partial 16S ribosomal RNA". It matches the Rfam family "Bacterial small subunit ribosomal RNA", at positions 28 to 507 of the family's 1533-position model. The record is from RNAcentral.